RNAcentral lists this unclassified non-coding RNA (23 nucleotides) under Mus musculus (house mouse). RNAcentral describes it as "oocyte_clustered_small_RNA3291". The record is from RNAcentral. Lineage: Eukaryota; Metazoa; Chordata; Mammalia; Rodentia; Muridae.
UGAACCCCGGUAUCUAGAGUCUG